This 460-nucleotide ribosomal RNA is filed under the name uncultured bacterium. RNAcentral describes it as "partial 16S ribosomal RNA". It matches the Rfam family "Bacterial small subunit ribosomal RNA", at positions 338 to 795 of the family's 1533-position model. The record is from RNAcentral.
CCUACGGGAGACAGCAGUGAGGAAUAUUGGUCAAUGGACGAGAGUCUGAACCAGCCAAGUAGCGUGAAGGAUGACUGCCCUAUGGGUUGUAAACUUCUUUUAUAUUGGAAUAAAAUGUUCCACGUGUGGGAUUUUGUAUGUACCAUAUGAAUAAGGAUCGGCUAAAUCCGUGCCAGCAGCCGCGGUAAUACGGAGGAUCCGAGCGUUAUCCGGAUUUAUUGGGUUUAAAGGGAGCGUAGGUGGAUUGUUAAGUCAGUUGUGAAAGUUUGCGGCUCAACCGUAAAAUUGCAGUUGAAACUGGCAGUCUUGAGUACAGUAGAGGUGUGCGGAAUUCGUGGUGUAGCGGUGAAAUGCUUAGAUAUCACGAAGAACUCCGAUUGCGAAGGCAGUUCACUGGACUGCAACUGACACUGAGGCUCGAAAGUGUGGGUAUCAAACAGGAUUAGAUACCCUUGUAGUC